This 440-nucleotide ribosomal RNA is filed under the name uncultured bacterium. Its description in RNAcentral is "partial 16S ribosomal RNA". It matches the Rfam family "Bacterial small subunit ribosomal RNA", at positions 338 to 795 of the family's 1533-position model. The record is from RNAcentral.
CCUACGGGAGGCUGCAGUGGGGAAUAUUGGUCAAUGGGGGAAACCCUGAUCCAGCGACGCCGCGUGAGUGAAGAAGUAUUUCGGUACGUAAAGCUCUAUCAGCAGGAAAGAAAAUGACGGUACCUGACUAAGAAGCCCCGGCUAACUACGUGCCAGCAGCCGGGGUAAUACGUAGGGGGCAAGCGUUAUCCGGGUUUACUGGGUGUAAAGGGAGCGUAGGCGGCUGCGCAAGUCUGGAGUGAAAUGCCGGGGCCCAACCCCGGAACUGCUCUGGAAACUGGGAGGCUGGAGUGCAGGAGAGGUAAGCGGAAUUCGUGGUGUAGCGGUGAAAUGCGUAGAUAUCGGGAGGAACGCCGACGGCGAAGGCGGCUUACUGGACUGUAACUGACGUUGAGGCUCGAAGGCGUGGGGAGCAAACAGGAUUAGAUACCCUUGUAGUC